GUGAGGUUUACAACUCAUGUCUGUCUUCAUUUUAAUAGACUAGUCAAUCUGUAACCAGAGAUGAUUAAGAAGGUUGUUAAAAGAAAAUAAGCUGUCCACCAUGCUGAUGCCCAGUUGUUCAGAUUGUUGAGGUGGUGUAGAGAUGACGCACACUGGCUCAGUUUACCCACAUUUGGAUCCAUGGACCUGCAAGUUCAGCCAACCCGUAUUGCACAUUGAAAGCCAUUAGUUGCUCCCACCUCUAAUAGGAGCUAUAGAUAGUGGAUUUCAAGAGAGUACCAAGGUUGCUACUCCAUAAUGGUCAGAAGAGCAAGCCAAAAACAUCUCAGUAAACACAGAAACCUCACAUCUCACGGAGGUUUACUUAACAAAAAUAUCAAGACCCGGUAUACCUGGAAAACUGCAGAUGUCAACAUUGGUUUAUCACAUCAUAUUCCUCCUGACACAACUCCUUCCCUUGGAAGGAUGAGUCCAUUAGUUAUUCGCUGGCUAUCAGAAACUUUUGCAUUGCUGGAGUUGAAUGACAAGUUUUUCACUUGUGUCAGGUGAUGAAGACAAAGUGUUGAUUUUUUGUUCAGAAAUAGAGGAAAACAAUUCUGAGAUACAGUGAGAGGCUCAGAAAAAGCAAUCCAGUAUCUAAGCAAAGAGAGGGAUGUGGCUGGGAAUUGCCGGAAAAGACUGAGAAACACCUGAAUUUUAAUUCAGCACCAUCACCGAAAAUCACCA
Non-coding RNA from Macaca mulatta (Rhesus monkey), 726 nucleotides. NCBI's taxonomy places the organism in Eukaryota, Metazoa, Chordata, Mammalia, Primates, Cercopithecidae. The record is from RefSeq and is a predicted model, not a curated record.